GAUGACAAAAUGUUCACUAGCAAGGACCACGAGGCAACAAUAUUUCCUGUAAAGGUUUAAUGGAAAUUCAGGAGGUUUUGUUGUUAAGGAUAGAUGAUCUGAUGCGGAUGUGGAGAAGAGAAGGUAGAAGAAGGAUGUCAUCUCUUAGGUUGAUCUCGGAGGACAUGCUGAAGGCUGGGCAGAGGGAGACUCAGGCAUUUUUCCACCUGAGUUGCUUACAGUCCCCCAGACGGUACCUAGAAUGAGAUGUGGGAGCGGUAUGCACCGACUGAAUAGGAAGGCAACAGAGGAUGUGGUUAAAAGGUAUAUAGGUAUAAGUAGCUUGACAGGUGAUUAGAGGUGUGGUUGAGGCGUGAACCUAAGUUAACUAAUAAACUUAAUUUGUUAAAACAGUGUAUCUGUAAGGUGAUUUGCGUGAGAGAAAAAACAAGCAAUAGUGCCAUUGCUAAUAUCUUUUGGCUUUCUGACAGACAUUACCAUCAUACAAACAGACCUCACAUAUGCACCUCAGCUGUGGUCACCAGUUAUUCUAUUGUGGCAUCUAGGAAAUCCAGUUGCAAGCCAUGCUCUGUUCAGGCACCAUUUAGCACUGAUGCUACACUGCAAUGCUACCCUCGUCCUUCUGUUCCAAACUAAUCAGGCCAUCUGUGUAAACACUAAUCACUAAUCUAAUAUAAUAAAAUCACUUUCCUCCUGCUCGCCCGCGGAUGUGUGUCCCUGUCUUUAAAACGGUCCGCCAGCGACAUCCACCCAAGGAGAUGUGGUGUGUGUGUGUGUGUGUGUGUGUGUGUGUGUGUGUGUGUGGUGUGUGUGUGUGUGUGUGUGUUGUGUGUGUGUGUGUGUGUGUGUGUGUGUGUGUGUGUGUGUGUGUGUGUGUGUGUGUGUGUGUGUGGUGUGUGUGUGUGUGUGUGUGUGUGUGUGUUGGUUUCUGGUUCGAUGGUCGGCUGGGUUGGGGCGGGGGGUGGGGCUCGAAGACCAGAUUUUUCUCUAACUCAUUGGGGUGGAACAGCGUAAAGACUAAUAAAGACGGUUUGUGUCACUCAUCUCGCAGGCAUCCACCACCCUGCGUCACCUGCACCUCCAUCACAAGAUGA
RNAcentral lists this long non-coding RNA (1094 nucleotides) under Dicentrarchus labrax (European seabass). RNAcentral's name for it is "lncRNA (ENSDLAG00005029647.1)". Lineage: Eukaryota; Metazoa; Chordata; Actinopteri; Moronidae. The record is from RNAcentral.